Long non-coding RNA from Helianthus annuus (common sunflower), 344 nucleotides. RefSeq lists it as uncharacterized. NCBI's taxonomy places the organism in Eukaryota, Viridiplantae, Streptophyta, Magnoliopsida, Asterales, Asteraceae. The transcript is spliced from 2 exons. The record is from RefSeq and is a predicted model, not a curated record.
UGAAAUUCUAACACAAACAUGGGAAAUUGCAGGUUGGCUCAGUAGACAAUCGGGUAUAUUAUUAUGAUUUGAGGAACACCAUAAUUUCUCUUCAUAUCAUUAGCGGUCUACAAAAAACCAUUUCAUUUGAAAAGUUCUUGCGAAACGAUGAGCUUGCAUCAGACAACAUUUUUCCCUUGUGGGACGUGAAACAAGAUCUUCCUGUUCAUACCUUUGGUGGUGGUAUCUCACAGGAUUUCCAAGGAAUCCUGCCGACUACGAGAGCGAAGCCUCUUUUAGUUUCCUAGUGGAAUCGGACUAUGACGAGAGUGAAGGCUCACCACCAGAUUUCCAAGGAAAUCCAA